AAGUCGUAACAAGGUUUCCGUAGGUGAACCUGCGGAAGGAUCAUUACAGUAUUAGUUUUUUUCCUUACCAGCGCUUAAUUGCGCGGUGGAAAAUAAAAACUUACACCCCAUGAUUUUUCUUUUUAUGGAACUAUUGCUUUGGCUUGGUCGAAAGAUUGGGCCAGAGAUUUAAGUAAAACUUCAAUUUUUAAUUGAAUUGUUAAAUUAAAUUAUAAGUCAAUUUGUUUGAUUAAAUUCAAAAAAAUUUAAAACUUUCAACAGUGGAUCUCUUGGUUCUCGCAUCGAUGAAGAACGCAGCGAAAUGCGAUAAGUAAUAUGAAUUGCAGAUUUUCGUGAAUCAUCGAAUCUUUGAACGCACAUUGCGCUCUUUGGUAUUCCAGAGAGCAUGCCUGUUUGAGCGUCAUUUCUCUCUCAAACCCUUGGGUUUGGUGUUGAGUGAUACGCUGAGGAAACUGAGCGUUUGCUUGAAAAAGAUUGGCAUGAGUGUACUAGAUAGUGCUCCUUGAUUUAUUCAAUGUAUUAGGUUUAUCCAACUCGUUGAACGGAAUCUUGGCGGUAAAUUUCCGGUGUUAUUGGCUCGGCCUAAUAACUUUUUAUAAGUUUGACCUCAAAUCAGGUAAGAAUACCCGCUGAACUUAA
Molecule: ribosomal RNA, 639 nt
Filed under: uncultured fungus
Lineage: Eukaryota; Fungi
Description: eukaryotic LSU rRNA
Rfam family: 5.8S ribosomal RNA (bases 250-403)
Source: RNAcentral